CUCGCUGUUGCGUUGCCUCAUGCCUGGUCGCGCUAAGCUAAACAUCACACCGCGAAAGACUACCACCACCUUCCGCCGACCGCCGGCCACCUCCGGCCUGCCUACGCCAGCUCCUCCCGACAGCGACAGCCCCCUCACCUGGACGCGGGAACACUACCGUCGGAGGAGGAGGAGGAGAUGGAGUUCCUGUACGAUUGUGGCGCCACCGCCGUCGUCACGGACGUGGCAGCCGCGCUCGCGAGCACCGCCGGUAUCCAGGCGUCCUCUCCCUCUGCCGUCGCCUCCGAGAGAGGUACCGGAGCGGCGAGCUGAAGAGGGCUCUUUCCGAGGCUGAAGACUACGCCUUAAGGUGGAGCUGCGCAUGGGGUGAGCAAACCGGCCUUGCUCCUGAAUUCUGGCCGUCUUUGGGCUGGCCGGCGAAGACGGCAAAUUCCGGCGCUUUGGGUGCCUCAGCUUCGGCUCCUUUGCUUCCCUUGCUGUUCUGCUGGCCGUGCGUUUCCCUGGCUUCUUCUGCAUGUGUUGAGCUUUCCUGAAUCCCUGACGAGUUAUUGUUUUUUCUAGAAUACUCAGUUCCUGGGUGGACGCUUAGUAAGCAGAUAAGUGGACUUGGGCACUUGACUCGUUUCUUAAUAGGAAAAAUAGUGAUUAAAUUCUUAUAUUCAGGGUGAUCUGGCAUUGUUGGUAGUGUUUUUUUAUUUAAAGAAAACGAUCAAUUCAGAUCAUUCAUGAUAUUAAUAGAGUGUUGGCCCUCCCAUCCUUCAAAUCCUAAAUUCGUUUCUUUUGGUUAUGUUGAUUAUUUGUUCCUUCUUUGGCUCUGCAUAAGGAAAUAUGGUGGAAAUAAGGGUUAACAUAAGAUAGUACUAAGGGGGGAUUGACUAUCACCACCAGGUGGCAGCAAAAUGUACCGCACAUCAUGACAGAGAAAGGAAAUCCAUAUUCUGGUCAGCUAUUAACACUGUAUGUCUUUGUGUAUGAAAUUUGGUGGGCGAAAUCACAGUUCAUUAUGCUAAAAUGAGAAAUGAGACAAAACACUCUUGUAGCUGACUGUCAACAUGAGAAAUGAAACUAUUAGUCUUUCUAUACCUUUGUAGACAGAACACUCUUCUAGCUAGUGUCUAAACGGUCCUAGAUAGUGCUUCCCAGCCACUACAUCAUCCUCGUGUUGUACGAUUAACAUCUACCACUACAUCAUCUAUUUUUGGAUUGAAGAAAUUUAACUGCUCUAUAUAUACUUUUCUGUCAGGUAGUCUGACUGUUUAGCAUCUGUUGCUACGAGUGACAGAGUUUUCUGUUUAAUUAAAUAGCUAACAUUUUUUUUCUGAUAGACCGCAAUAUUAUCUCUGAUGAGAAUAUUUGAGAGAAUUGUUUCUUGUUAUUAUCCAAAAAAGAUUGCGACCAUGGCUAUACAAUAAUAUUCGGUAGGACUGUGUUGUCUAAGGUAAUUGCGCUGGGAGUUUCUAUGGAGAACCUGGAGUCUGGUUGGGGCGAUCA
Triticum urartu is the source of this 1491-nucleotide long non-coding RNA. RefSeq lists it as uncharacterized. The record is from RefSeq and is a predicted model, not a curated record. Lineage: Eukaryota; Viridiplantae; Streptophyta; Magnoliopsida; Poales; Poaceae.